Molecule: ribosomal RNA, 401 nt
Filed under: uncultured bacterium
Lineage: Bacteria
Description: bacterial SSU rRNA
Rfam family: Bacterial small subunit ribosomal RNA
Source: RNAcentral
GGGGAAUAUUGGACAAUGGGCGCAAGCCUGAUCCAGCCAUGCCGCGUGAGUGAUGAAGGCCCUAGGGUUGUAAAGCUCUUUUGUGCGGGAAGAUAAUGACGGUACCGCAAGAAUAAGCCCCGGCUAACUUCGUGCCAGCAGCCGCGGUAAUACGAAGGGGGCUAGCGUUGCUCGGAAUCACUGGGCGUAAAGGGUGCGUAGGCGGGUCUUUAAGUCAGGGGUGAAAUCCUGGAGCUCAACUCCAGAACUGCCUUUGAUACUGAGGAUCUUGAGUUCGGGAGAGGUGAGUGGAACUGCGAGUGUAGAGGUGAAAUUCGUAGAUAUUCGCAAGAACACCAGUGGCGAAGGCGGCUCACUGGCCCGAUACUGACGCUGAGGCACGAAAGCGUGGGGAGCAAACA